RNAcentral lists this ribosomal RNA (1300 nucleotides) under Latilactobacillus curvatus. Its description in RNAcentral is "bacterial SSU rRNA". It matches the Rfam family "Bacterial small subunit ribosomal RNA", at positions 63 to 1353 of the family's 1533-position model. Lineage: Bacteria; Bacillati; Bacillota; Bacilli; Lactobacillales; Lactobacillaceae. The record is from RNAcentral.
CUUGCUUCUGAUUGAUAACAUUUGAGUGAGUGGCGGACGGGUGAGUAACACGUGGGUAACCUGCCCUAAAGUGGGGGAUAACAUUUGGAAACAGAUGCUAAUACCGCAUAAAACCUAGCACCGCAUGGUGCAAGGUUGAAAGAUGGUUUCGGCUAUCACUUUAGGAUGGACCCGCGGUGCAUUAGUUAGUUGGUGAGGUAAAGGCUCACCAAGACCGUGAUGCAUAGCCGACCUGAGAGGGUAAUCGGCCACACUGGGACUGAGACACGGCCCAGACUCCUACGGGAGGCAGCAGUAGGGAAUCUUCCACAAUGGACGAAAGUCUGAUGGAGCAACGCCGCGUGAGUGAAGAAGGUUUUCGGAUCGUAAAACUCUGUUGUUGGAGAAGAACGUAUUUGAUAGUAACUGAUCAGGUAGUGACGGUAUCCAACCAGAAAGCCACGGCUAACUACGUGCCAGCAGCCGCGGUAAUACGUAGGUGGCAAGCGUUGUCCGGAUUUAUUGGGCGUAAAGCGAGCGCAGGCGGUUUCUUAAGUCUGAUGUGAAAGCCUUCGGCUCAACCGAAGAAGUGCAUCGGAAACUGGGGAACUUGAGUGCAGAAGAGGACAGUGGAACUCCAUGUGUAGCGGUGAAAUGCGUAGAUAUAUGGAAGAACACCAGUGGCGAAGGCGGCUGUCUGGUCUGUAACUGACGCUGAGGCUCGAAAGCAUGGGUAGCAAACAGGAUUAGAUACCCUGGUAGUCCAUGCCGUAAACGAUGAGUGCUAGGUGUUGGAGGGUUUCCGCCCUUCAGUGCCGCAGCUAACGCAUUAAGCACUCCGCCUGGGGAGUACGACCGCAAGGUUGAAACUCAAAGGAAUUGACGGGGGCCCGCACAAGCGGUGGAGCAUGUGGUUUAAUUCGAAGCAACGCGAAGAACCUUACCAGGUCUUGACAUCCUUUGACCACUCUAGAGAUAGAGCUUUCCCUUCGGGGACAAAGUGACAGGUGGUGCAUGGUUGUCGUCAGCUCGUGUCGUGAGAUGUUGGGUUAAGUCCCGCAACGAGCGCAACCCUUAUUACUAGUUGCCAGCAUUUAGUUGGGCACUCUAGUGAGACUGCCGGUGACAAACCGGAGGAAGGUGGGGACGACGUCAAAUCAUCAUGCCCCUUAUGACCUGGGCUACACACGUGCUACAAUGGAUGGUACAACGAGUCGCGAGACCGCGAGGUUUAGCUAAUCUCUUAAAACCAUUCUCAGUUCGGAUUGUAGGCUGCAACUCGCCUACAUGAAGCCGGAAUCGCUAGUAAUCGCGGAUCAGC